UCCCUGGUGGUCCAGUGGCUAAGACUCUGCACUCUCAACGCCAGGGGCCUGGGUUUGAUCCCUGGUCAGGGAA
RNAcentral lists this transfer RNA (73 nucleotides) under Capra hircus (goat). It matches the Rfam family "tRNA". Rfam says of the family: Transfer RNA (tRNA) molecules are approximately 80 nucleotides in length. Their secondary structure includes four short double-helical elements and three loops (D, anti-codon, and T loops). Further hydrogen bonds mediate the characteristic L-shaped molecular structure. tRNAs have two regions of fundamental functional importance: the anti-codon, which is responsible for specific mRNA codon recognition, and the 3' end, to which the tRNAs corresponding amino acid is attached (by aminoacyl-tRNA synthetases). tRNAs cope with the degeneracy of the genetic code in two manners: having more than one tRNA (with a specific anti-codon) for a particular amino acid; and 'wobble' base-pairing, i.e. permitting non-standard base-pairing at the 3rd anti-codon position. Lineage: Eukaryota; Metazoa; Chordata; Mammalia; Artiodactyla; Bovidae. The record is from Rfam by way of RNAcentral. RNAcentral also lists the same sequence under 1 other name.